GAUGAAGAACGCAGCGAAAUGCGAUAAGUAAUGCGAAUUGCAGAAUUUCCGUGAGUCAUCGAAUCUUUGAACGCACAUUGCGCCCACUGGUAUUCCAAAGGGCAUGCCUGUUCGAGCGUCAUUUGUACCCUCAAGCUUUGCUUGGUGUUGGGCGUCUUGUCUCCAGUCCGCUGGAGACUCGCCUUAAAGUCAUUGGCAGCCGGCCUACUGGUUUCGGAGCGCAGCACAAGUCGCACUCUUUUCCAGCCAAGGUCAGUGUCCAACAAGCCUUUUUUCAACUUUUGACCUCGGAUCAGGUAGGGAUACCCGCUGAACUUAAGCAUAUCAAUAAGCGGAGGA
This 339-nucleotide unclassified non-coding RNA is filed under the name soil metagenome. RNAcentral's name for it is "partial contains 5.8S ribosomal RNA, internal transcribed spacer 2, and large subunit ribosomal RNA". The stretch from base 1 to 121 matches the Rfam family "5.8S ribosomal RNA", at positions 35 to 154 of the family's 154-position model. The record is from RNAcentral.